Molecule: long non-coding RNA, 2722 nt
Organism: Oncorhynchus tshawytscha (Chinook salmon)
Lineage: Eukaryota; Metazoa; Chordata; Actinopteri; Salmoniformes; Salmonidae
Source: Ensembl
CCUGGCUGUAAGCAAACCACAAUAUUCAUAAUUCAUUGAGAUUUCACGAUGUAGUACCGCCCCUGUCAAGGUGGAUCCAAUUGAGAAUGGGUAUCAAAAGGUAGCUAGCUAAUGAUACUCCCUGGAUUAGCCAUUCAUCCAUAGAACGUCAGCUUGUAAAUAACUAUUUAUUUUGUAUUUUUGUGUAGAGAACAACUGUAACAUUUUGUCAUGGUGUGGUGCUCAGUACUUAGAUGUGCAAACUACAAGCAACCACAGGCUGUUGGGGUAACAUUUCAUUGGUUACCUUACUAAGAAGUCAAGCAGAGAGUCCAAUUCCAUCAACAUCUAUAGCAGCAUAAACAUCGAGCUAAGCACCAGGACCCUUUGCUAAAUCUUUCCAUGACUCCAUGAUGAGCAAAUAAAUAUACUGGAGGUUAUGAGAAUUACCAUCUGAAGCUGAAGCAAUAUUCCUUGACCCAAGGACUGUACUUGACAUGAUACAAGAUCAACGGUGAAGUGUUCAUUAGUGAAGUCCUUAUCAACCAGUGGAACAGAAGAAGAAUUCCUCACUACCGGCAGACUGUCCAAACAUAAUUUCUAAUAGUUAUCUAUGUGGGACUGAUACUAGUGUGGAAGAGCUGGUCACUUUUAAAAUACUUGCUAAUUGGACAAUUUAAUAUUAUUGUCUUCCUGCUUAUACAUGAUGCGGUAGGAAUCGUAAGCGACAUCAUCAUUACACAUGUCAAUACUUAUUUUAUAUAACUUUGUUUGAAAUCUAUUUCUUAUUGUAAAGCAAGUAGAAUAUGCCCUUUGUGUUUUAUAGAAAUGCAAGGUGUUUAAUGUGAAUGAUUUUAUGCUUACUGCUAAUGUUUUUUAUACUUUCUAUUUUUUCAUGUUUUCUAUUGUUUUCUAAAAAUACAUUUAAAGUAUAUUUAUUUUUAAAAUGGUCUAGGGGGGAGUGUAAGAAUAUUUAGAAGAUAAAUACACAAUGCAGAGGACGAGAGGUCAAUAGAGUACUAACGGUCAAGAGGACUAAAAGCCAAUAGAGUACUUACGGUCAAGAGGACUAAAAGCCAAUAGAGUACUAACGGUCAAGAGGACUAAAAGCCAAUAGAGUACUUACGGUCAAGAGGACUAAAAGCCAAAAGAGUACUAACGGUCAAGAGGACUAAAAGCCAAUCGAGUACUAACGGUCAAGAGGACUAAAAGCCAAUAGAGUACUAACGGUCAAGAGGACUAAAAGCCAAUAGAGUACUUACGGUCAAGAGGACUAAAAGCCAAAAGAGUACUAACGGUCAAGAGGACUAAAAGCCAAUCGAGUACUAACGGUCAAGAGGACUAAAAGCCAAUAGAGUACUAACGGUCAAGAGGACUAAAAGCCAAUAGAGUACUUACGGUCAAGAGGACUAAAAGCCAAUAGAGUACUAACGAUCAAUGGAAAUUGUGUUUUUUUCUGUAGUAGGGCAUUAAUGAUCAAUGGGUGUCACGAGAAUUUUCAAUCCCAAUGAUAAUAACAAUCAAUCAAUAGCUUUGACAAAAUCCCUGAGGUUUAUAAAACCAUGGGUUUAAUAAUAAUUAGUCAAAGACUCAGCUUAUGCAAAAGGUCAGUACAGUUUAUUCACGAGAACGUUCUAAACUAAAUAAUAGAAAAACAUCCAUUUUAUUGCUGCGCACAUACUUCCACACACAAACAGUAGGUAUCCUACGCACAUACUGUAUCACUACCCAGCCGACAAAGAUUAGGGAGACCUUGAGACGUACUCCCUGUCCUCUCCCAAAUCUCUAGUCAGGUCGGUACCGAAUUUUGCUCAGACAGUCUGUGUUUAAGAUACGAUAAAGACAUAUUGUACAUAUACAUUGUUUUACCCUAAUUCUGACUAAAACUACACUCACAGAUAUAUAAUUUUACUGACUAAAACUACACACAUAAUUAGUGUCACGUUCUGACCUUUAUUUCCUUUGUUUUGUAUUCAUUAUUUAGUAUGGUCAGGGCGUGAGUUGGGGUGGGCAGUCUAUGUUUGAUUUUCUAUGAUUUGGGGAUUUCUAUGUUUCGGCCUAGUAUGGUUCUCAAUCAGAGGCAGGUGUCAUUAGUUGUCUCUGAUUGAGAAUCAUACUUAGGUAGCCUGGGUUGCACUGUUUGUUUGUGGGUGAUUGUCUAUGUUGAUUGCUUGUUUCAGCACAGUUCGCAUUAGCUUCACGGUUGUUAUUUAGUUUAUUGUUUUUGUAUAGUGUUUCAGUGUUCAGUGUUUUCUUUAUUAAAAUUCAUGAUGAACACAUACCACGCCGCAUUUUGGUCCUCAGAUCCUUCUCUCCUCAUCAGAUGAAGAGGAGGACGACCGUGACAAUUAGAAUAAUUUCAUGAUUCUAAUCAAUUUUAUACAAUUAUAUGGUUUGAGGGUGGAAUAUUCUAAUCAUUAAUUUAAACAUUUAAAUUCCAUUAUCAAUGGGUCAGAGACAUGGGAGUCCGGGACUCAUAGCUACAUGGUAAGUUCUCAUUGGUCCAAAUUGUUUAUACAUUGAGCCUGAAAUAUGAUACUUGUUAUUUGGCCAUUGUCCCAGCUAAUUGCAAGGAAUUCUAAUUGGUCAACCACAGGCUAGGGUUGGGUUAUAAAACUACAUCCUGUCCCUUUGUUCUGUGGAGAGAAUCAUUGAGGAGAGAAUCACUGAGGACCGGGGAGAAUGAGCAUCUACCUCCCCGCAUGAUUUGUUCUCUUUGAAUAAACCUAUUUUCCUCCCCCUG